This 1605-nucleotide ribosomal RNA is filed under the name Triticum aestivum (bread wheat). RNAcentral describes it as "partial small subunit ribosomal RNA". Lineage: Eukaryota; Viridiplantae; Streptophyta; Magnoliopsida; Poales; Poaceae. The record is from RNAcentral.
AUGGUGUCAGCUGAGCCGCCGCUGCAACUGGAGCCGAAGAAUGUGUGCGUCGUGGGAGCCGGCAUGGCCGGUAUGGCGGCGGCGCGCGAGCUGCGGCGAGAGGGCCACGUCGUGACGGUCAUGGAGCAGAGCGGCGACGUCGGCGGGCAGUGGCUGUACGACCCGAGGACCGACGAUGACGGCCUGCUCGAGGCCGGGGCCGCGCCAGUGCGCGUGCACAGCAGCAUGUACGCCUGCCUCCGUCUCAUCAGCCCGAGGGAGGCCAUGGGCUUCUCCGACUUCCAGUUCUUCCCCAGGGAGGGCGUCGCCGGCCGCGACCCGCGCCGCUUCCCGACCCACCGCGAGGUGUACUACUACCUCCGGGAGUUCUGCCACGCGUUCGGGCUUGCUGACGCCGUCAGGCUCAACACCAGGGUCACGCGCGUCGCCGCCGUGCCCACGUCGUUGACGGAUCAAUGGGCUGUGAGAACCGUGCACCUCGGUGGCACGGCCACGGACGAGGAGGAGAAGGAGGAGGUGUUCGAUGCCGUCGUCGUGGCCACCGGCCACUACUCGCAGCCGAAGCUCCCGAGCAUCAACGGCAUGGAGGACUGGCCGCGGAGGCAGCUGCACAGCCACUCGUACCGGACGCCGGAGCCGUUCCGCGGCGAGGUGGUGGUGAUGGUCGGGUGCGGGGACAGCGGCAAGGACAUCGCGCUGGACCUCCGCCGCGUCGCCAAGGAGGUGCACCUCACUGCCAAGUCCGUGGAGGAGGCCAUGACGCCGGCGAUGUCCAAGAUGCUGGCGAACCACGCCAACCUGCACCUCCACCCGCAGAUAGACCGCCUGCACGCCGACGGCCGCGUGGCGUUCGCCGACGGCUCCUCCGUCGUCGCCGACACUGUCAUGUACUGCACGGGGUACACCUACUCGUUCACGUUCCUGGACACGGGUGGCGCGGUCACCGUCGACGACAACCGCGUGGGGCCGCUGUUCGAGCACGUGUUCCCGCCGUCCCUGGCGCCGUCGCUCUCCUUCGUCGGCAUACCGAGGAAGGUCAUCGUGCCGUGGUUCUUCGAGGCGCAGGGGAAGUGGGUCGCGCAGGUGCUGUCCGGCCGGCGGGCGCUGCCGCCGGAGGAGGAGAUGCUGCGGUCCGUGGAGGAGUAUUACCGGGCCAGGGAGGCAGCCGGCGUGCCGAAGAAGUACACCCACGACAUCGCCGGCGUGGAUCCUGAGAAAAUGUACGAGUUCGGGGAAAAGUACUGCGAUUUCGCGCGUAUCGAGGAUUGGAAGAGGGAGCUGCUCGUGUCCAUCAUCGCCAACAUGGACAACGACAUGGAGACCUUCCGCGACCGCGCGGACGACGGCGAGAACGUCCGGAAGGGCCUGCAGAGAUGGCACGGCGAAGCUGCUCAAGCCCAAGAAGAUCAAACUACGGUUGCUGCGGUUGAAGCUGACCUUGAUGCCCAGGUCAAGGAAGAAGAAGAAGAAGGGGGGCCUCUCCCCCUCUCUCCAGGUGGCGCCGGAAUGCCGCCGGGGCCAUCAUCGUGUGACGGCGAUCUACACCAACACCUCCGCCAUCUUCACCAGCAUCUUCAUCACCUUCCCCCAUCUAUCUACAGGUUA